CAAUUAACGUAUACGAAUUGACUGAAAAAUUCACUAAUAUAAUGGUUUAAUUACCUUCAUUCUCCAGUUCAAAAUAAGUACUUAUUGUGAACUGGAGAAUGAAGGAGGCUGGAGGUAAUUAAACCAUUAGUUUA
Macrosteles quadrilineatus (aster leafhopper) is the source of this 134-nucleotide small nucleolar RNA. RefSeq annotates it as small nucleolar RNA snoR97. The transcript has a single exon. The record is from RefSeq and is a predicted model, not a curated record. Lineage: Eukaryota; Metazoa; Arthropoda; Insecta; Hemiptera; Cicadellidae.